This 520-nucleotide ribosomal RNA is filed under the name uncultured Glomus. RNAcentral describes it as "SSU rRNA". It matches the Rfam family "Eukaryotic small subunit ribosomal RNA", at positions 569 to 1094 of the family's 1831-position model. Lineage: Eukaryota; Fungi; Glomeromycota; Glomeromycetes; Glomerales; Glomeraceae. The record is from RNAcentral.
AGCAGCCGCGGUAAUUCCAGCUCCAAUAGCGUAUAUUAAAGUUGUUGCAGUUAAAAGCUCGUAGUUGAAUUUCGGGGUUAGUAGGUUGGUCAUGCCUCUGGUAUGUACUGGUCUCACUGGCUCCUCCUUCCUGAUGAACCGUAAUGCCAUUAAUUUGGUGUUGCGGGGAGACUGGACUGUUACUUUGAAAAAUUAGAGUGUUAAAGCAGGCUAACGCUUGAAUACAUUAGCAUGGAAUAAUGAAAUAGGGCGUUCGAUCUUAUUUUGUUGGUUUCUAAGAUUGACGUAAUGAUUAAUAGGGAUAGUUGGGGGCAUUAGUAUUCAAUUGUCAGAGGUGAAAUUCUUGGAUUUAUUGAAGACUAACUACUGCGAAAGCAUUUGCCAAGGAUGUUUUCAUUAAUCAAGAACGAGGUUAGGGGAUCGAAGACGAUCAGAUACCGUCGUAGUCUUAACCAUAAACUAUGCCGACUAGGGAUCGGAUGAUGUUAAUUUUUUAAUGACUCAUUCGGCGCCUUAUCGG